GUUGGAAUGUCUGCUAGUUUCGGUUUGGAUUUUUUGCUAGCGCCUACCCCACGGAAGGAGCUGGAAAAGCUGGUGACAAGAAUGUGGAGGAUGAAUGCUCGUACUUGGCCUCAACAAUCCAAAAGAAGAAAGUGCGAGUCAAGGGAGAGCCAGAAAGCCCACCCCACGGAGAUAAGUCGUGAGGACACACUGAGAGACACAGUGUAAUUUGCCAGCCCCACCAAGUCGCCACAGCCAGUCCAAAAAAGAGGGACAGGUGGACCAACCAGGCACCCCAGACGCCAACCACCACCUGGACCCACCACAAUUCACCUUCACCAUCCCCCCCAACACCAGAAGAUCCAGACGACCCCACCCACCGAUAGGCGCUGAAACGAUGGUCAGGCACCACCCAGCAGGAUGACAGUUUGAAACUGGUGAAGAGGGGUGGGGAAUCUUCAAGUUGGGAGGUGAAUAUGUUGACUAAAGGAGGCCUCCACAAAAUGAGAAAGGAAAUCCCCACCCCUCACAGCUAACUAACCAGGCCCAAGAAGUCAUGCCAUGACCCUUGAGCCACUCUCCAAAUCCCAUGCUCCUGUUCUGGCGGCGGCAACGGCUCUGUGGCUGUCCCACGUUCCUGUACAGCAGGCAGCAAUGGCUCGUCGGCCGUCCCACGUUCCUGUCCAGCAGGUGGCGAUGGCUCGUCGGCCACCUCAUGUUCCUGUCCAGGCAGUCGUCUCACCUCCCUUUUUUGACGGCGACAGGUAUUCUUCCGUCUCCCGUUCCUGUCUCGACAGCGACAGGCUGGACCAUGGCCAAGAGGGGUGUGGCUACUGCCCUGGCCGGAGACACCUGUCACCGCUCUCGGCUGUUUAACAUUGGGGCUGUAAUUAGAUAAUGUAUUUAAGUUUGAGUUUUGUCACUGGCAUUUUCCAGUUCGUUGUGUUUUUUAGUGAGUUGCACUGUGUUGCUGUGUGCAGAAACUCCUGCAAUAAAACCUACUGGUCAUAAUGCCAUGGACCCGGAGUCCUGCAUUUGAGUCUCCCCCACACCAGAGGUUCAUGAUAAGAGAUAGUUUUAAAACGCUAGGAAAAGCUGUAAUCCCUUUGCUUGAAUGCGUUUUCUCUGGGAACUUGGGUUUCCUCUCACAUCCCAAAAACAUGCAUUAAAUGGAGACUCUAAAAUGCCCCUAGGUCUGAUUCCGAGUGUGAAUGUUGUCUGCCUCUGUGUGCCCUGUGAUUGGCUGGCAACCAGUUCAAGGUGAACCCCGCCUCAUGCCCGAUGACAGCUGCGAUAGGUUCCAGAACUCCCGCAAGGAGUGAGGAUAAGUGGCUCAGAAAUUGAAUGGAUGGAUGGAUGAAAAGCUGUUUUUGUACGAACUCUCACUGGUUUUAGCUUUUUAGGAGUCAUAUGGCAGUAAGAAAGAAAGUUCUUCAGUCUGAAAGUCAUGCAUUUAAAUUUUAUGUCUGGCCUCAGGUAAGAAGUAUGACUAGUCUGUGCUGGGGGCCAUAGGAAUUGUUGAUGAUGGCUUUUCAUUUUUACUGAUGGUGGUGCACUAAUUUACAUUUGACUCCAGUCUUGAAUUUAUCGAUGAAGAAUCUGUGUAAAAAAUAAAGACCUUUGUAUGGUCAGCCAAUGAUCGGUACUGUUUUGAAACAGAGAUUUUAUCACCCCAGUAAAUGUCAGUAUUAUGUAAAUCCAUACGACAUGUUUGUCAGUGUCCAAUGUACUGUAAAUAUGCAUCAUUGGAGCGAUAAAGCCAUAUGAAAGGCUGUUUUCAAUGAAGUCGGCAGGGAUGUUCUGGUUGUGGGGGUGGGACUCUGACUUCUGGUCUUCCAUUCUAAUAUUCCUUUGUAUCACUUUAAUGUUCAUAUAAUGACAUCCCCUCCAAGUUUGUGUCAUGGUCCAUCAAGAAUCAUAAUUGUAAAGUGAUUCAUUGACUGAUGUUGUCAACAUGGCUACUGUCAAGAGAAACCGAUCCGCCAUAAAAAGAAUAUGACUCUCUAAUGAAUAUAUCAAUAACCAGUGACAGGUGAAGGAGUGCCCCUGACGACAUUUCAAAUAAGCACUAACACCCCAAUAGUGGAAGGCUUCAUUUGUUUUGGUGCACCACACUGAGGCACAGCUUGUGUGGUAAUAACACAAUUACAGUAAAAACAAAGCAAAUUUAUUUGGUACAAUAUAGCACAUUUCCUACACACGGGAGCACAAUGUGCUUUACAUGAUUAAAGCAUUUUAAUAAAUAAAGACAAAGAAUACCAAACAUAGUUUAAAACACACACACACAGUUGUGUUCAGAAUAAUAGCAUUCCCAUAUUAGUAGCAAGAUAAAUUACUGUUUUUGUUCAAUUUUCAACUUCUACAAUCCAAGUAAAUUUUUAGAAAAUUUUGUAAAAGGUGUACCUACUAACGAACUAAACUAACAGACCCAACAGGCAUGAGGAUUAUACUUCUGAUUCUGUGAAACUGAAUCAUUGACUGACAGGGGCAUCUUCAAAAUAAUAGCAGUGCCGAGUUCAAUUAGUGAGGUCAUUGAUUGUGUGUGUGUGUUGUUAAAAAUGUGGCCUUUAUUUAAGAAUCAAGGACUUUGCAUAUGAUGACUGUGCAUUUGUCCUUGAAAAAAGAGAAAAUGGGUCCUUCAAGACACUGUUCUGAAGUAGAGCGUUAUUUGAUUGAGAAAUUAAUAAAAGUGAGCGUUAUUUGAUUAAGAAAAUAAUAAAAGUGAGAAAACAUAUAUCAAACACUUUAAAAUGGGAGCCACAUAAGAAAGACGAGGAAGAAAAAGUAAACCUACUGUUCGAACGUAGAAUAACCAAAAUGGCAGAGACUCGGAAAAUUAUCAGCACCAGGAGGAUCAAACAAGCUCUAAGAUUGCCUGUGAGUACUGAUUGUCUCAGACGACGUUUAUGUGAAGCCUAACUACCACCGAGAAGACCCCGACAAGUCCCAUUGUUUAAAAAAAGACAUGCUGAAGUGGUUGCAAUUCGCCAAAGAACACAAUGACUGGUCCAAAAAGAAAUGGUGUAAUAUUUUAUGGACUGAUGAGAGGAAGAUUGUUCUUUUGGAUCCAAGGGCCACAGACACUGAAUUCAAGCCACAGUACACAGUGAAGACAGAUAAACUAUUUCCAACUUUCUUACUUUGAAAUAGAAACUGCAGUGUCCUCAAUGCAUUUCUGUUCAUUACAUACA
Molecule: long non-coding RNA, 3170 nt
Organism: Syngnathoides biaculeatus (alligator pipefish)
Lineage: Eukaryota; Metazoa; Chordata; Actinopteri; Syngnathiformes; Syngnathidae
Exons: 4
Source: RefSeq, a predicted model, not a curated record